GACGAACGCUGGCGGCGUGCUUAACACAUGCAAGUCGAACGAAGAGCGACGGAAGCUUGCUUCUAUCAAUCUUAGUGGCGAACGGGUGAGUAACGCGUAAUCAACCUGCCCUUCAGAGGGGGACAACAGUUGGAAACGACUGCUAAUACCGCAUACGAUCUAAUCUCGGCAUCGAGGAUGGAUGAAAGGUGGCCUCUACAUGUAAGCUAUCACUGAAGGAGGGGAUUGCGUCUGAUUAGCUAGUUGGAGGGGUAACGGCCCACCAAGGCGAUGAUCAGUAGCCGGUCUGAGAGGAUGAACGGCCACAUUGGGACUGAGACACGGCCCAGACUCCUACGGGAGGCAGCAGUGGGGAAUCUUCCGCAAUGGACGAAAGUCUGACGGAGCAACGCCGCGGGAGUGAUGACGGCCUUCGGGUUGUAAAGCUCUGUUAAUCGGGACGAAAGGCCUUCUUGCGAAUAGGGAGAAGGAUUGACGGUACCGGAAUAGAAAGCCACGGCUAACUACGUG
Molecule: ribosomal RNA, 510 nt
Filed under: uncultured bacterium
Lineage: Bacteria
Description: partial 16S ribosomal RNA
Rfam family: Bacterial small subunit ribosomal RNA
Source: RNAcentral